This is a long non-coding RNA of Thalassophryne amazonica, 128 nucleotides long. RefSeq lists it as uncharacterized. The record is from RefSeq and is a predicted model, not a curated record. The transcript is spliced from 4 exons. NCBI's taxonomy places the organism in Eukaryota, Metazoa, Chordata, Actinopteri, Batrachoidiformes, Batrachoididae.
CAAUCGGUUUGCAUAAGCAAAGAAUUUCUGCACAAACUGGGCAACGGGGAAGCUCACCUGCAUGCUCAUUGUCCUCUUCGGGGUCUUGACCUGACUGCAGUUCAUUGUCGUAACCAACUUGAGUUGGC